AAUAGAUACCCGGGUAGUCCACGCCGUAAACGUUGGAUACUAGGUGUGGCGGUCUACCAACGACUGCCGUGCCGAAGCUAACGCAUUAAGUAUCCCGCCUGGGGAGUACGGCCGCAAGGCUAAAACUCAAAGGAAUUGACGGGUCCCCGCACAAGCGGCGGAGCAUGCGGCUUAAUUCGAUGCAACCCGAAGAACCUUACCUGGGUUUGACAUCAUGGGAAAAGCCGUAGAAAUACGGUGUCCGAAAGGGCCCAUGACAGGUGGUGCAUGGCUGUCGUCAGCUCGUGUCGUGAGAUGUUGGGUUAAGUCCCGCAACGAGCGCAACCCUUGUCCUAUGUUGCCAGCGGUUCGGCCGGGGACUCAUAGGAGACUGCCGGGGAUAACUCGGAGGAAGGUGAGGACGACGUCAAGUCAUCAUGCCCCUUAUAUCCAGGGCUGCACGCAUGCUACAAUGGCCGGUACAACGGGAAGCGACCCCGCGAGGGUGAGCGAAUCCCUUAAAGCCGGUCCCAGUUCGGAUUGAAGUCUGCAACUCGACUUCAUGAAGCCGGU
This 552-nucleotide ribosomal RNA is filed under the name uncultured bacterium. RNAcentral's name for it is "bacterial SSU rRNA". It matches the Rfam family "Bacterial small subunit ribosomal RNA", at positions 777 to 1330 of the family's 1533-position model. The record is from RNAcentral.